AGUUCGGUCUCUAUCUGUUGUGGGCGCGAGAUAUUUGCGAGGGUCUGACACUAGUACGAGAGGACCGUGUUGGACGUACCACUGGUUUAUCGGUUGUUUCGCCAGGAGCACUGCCGAGUAGCCACGUACGGUAAGGAUAAGUGCUGAAAGCAUCUAAGCACGAAGCCCUCCUCAAGAUUAGAUAUCUUUAUAGGGUGGUUAUAGACGAUGACCUUGAUAGGCUACAGGUGUAAAUGCAGUAAUGUAAAAGCCGAGUAGUACUAAUAGCCCGAACGCUUUAUAU
Molecule: ribosomal RNA, 283 nt
Filed under: Porphyromonas cangingivalis
Lineage: Bacteria; Pseudomonadati; Bacteroidota; Bacteroidia; Bacteroidales; Porphyromonadaceae
Description: 23S rRNA. Bacterial LSU
Rfam family: Bacterial large subunit ribosomal RNA
Source: RNAcentral